CACCGUGAGGUGGAAUCUGAAGGAAGUCAGAUGGCAAAUCUCUGGUCUGACGAACAGAAACCACAUGAGGCUAUGGUUAAGGAUAAGGCUGCCAAACAAGUCAAAGUCCAAUAGCUACUCGGAAUUAAUUAUAGUAGAUGUGGCAGAUAUAUGGAGAGAAAGUGA
Molecule: non-coding RNA, 165 nt
Filed under: human gut metagenome
Source: RNAcentral